AAUCUUGAGUCUUUGAGGCCUUAAAGUGUUGUAAAAGCUACAGUUCUCCUCCUCCUUUCUUCUAAGUGUUGAGAUCAUCCAAAAGAGGAGUGAAAACUUAUAAGGGUUGUCUCCUAAGCUCGUCAAAUGGAGAAAAGCUGUAAAAGGUGUUGAAUCUCAGAUUUUGAUGAUGAAGUCAAUUGUCAUCUGUUAUCUAAUCCAU
This 202-nucleotide long non-coding RNA is filed under the name Musa acuminata (dwarf banana). RNAcentral describes it as "long non-coding RNA (MACU_LNC008450)". Lineage: Eukaryota; Viridiplantae; Streptophyta; Magnoliopsida; Zingiberales; Musaceae. The record is from RNAcentral.